CCUACGGGUGGCAGCAGUGAGGAAUAUUGGUCAAUGGACGGGAGUCUGAACCAGCCAAGCCGCGUGCAGGAUGACGGCUCUAUGGGUUGUAAACUGCUUUUGUAUGGGGAUAAAACGCCGUACGUGUGGGGUCUUGCACGUACUAUACGAAUAAGGAUCGGCUAACUCCGUGCCAGCAGCCGCGGUAAUACGGAGGAUCCGAGCGUUAUCCGGAUUUAUUGGGUUUAAAGGGAGCGUAGAUGGGUUGUUAAGUCAGUGGUGAAAGUUUGCGGCUCAACCGUAAAAUUGCAAUUGAUACUGGCAGUCUUGAGUACAGUUGAGGUAGGCGGAAUUCGUGGUGUAGCGGUGAAAUGCUUAGAUAUCACGAAGAACCCCGAUUGCGAAGGCAGCUUACUAAACUGUGACUGACAUUGAUGCUCGAAAGUGUGGGUAUCAAACAGGAUUAGAUACCCUUGUAGUC
RNAcentral lists this ribosomal RNA (460 nucleotides) under uncultured bacterium. RNAcentral's name for it is "partial 16S ribosomal RNA". It matches the Rfam family "Bacterial small subunit ribosomal RNA", at positions 338 to 795 of the family's 1533-position model. The record is from RNAcentral.